UCUGUUGUUGUAGAGCACCUUAACACAACAGUAGUUUCAAGUGUUGCAAUAAAUCCAUCAAUAACAACGCCUUUUAAAAAUUUUUAUCUACUGCAACACUUGUCUACUCCCUCCAUAUUUUCCCUCUUUUAAUUUCACAAAAAAAGGUAAAUAUUUAAUCCCUAAAAUUAUAUCAUCUUUAUGUCUUUUAGAAUUUUAGGUCAUACAUUAUCUUCUCCAUAGAAGUGAGUAACAAACCUAAACAAUCGAAAGAUUCUUGAACAAGAAUCUGGGUACAUCUUGAAUUUUUCUUUCAGCUUUUCUCAUUGUCUGUUCACAACAAAACAAAGAGAAACCUCAUUCAGAUGUAAAUUGCUCGAUCUUCACAUCUUGGUUUUUAGGGAUAAUGUAAAAGCUGCUCAAGACUUUGAAAAUCGGAAUAAGUUGUCACCAAGGAUAUAAGAUCAAAUUUUUUUCUCGUAUCUGUCUUAAGAUGCAAACUUAAUGAUUGCAAUAAAAAGAGACCAUGAAUGUUCUGCCAAAUUGUAUAAGAUCAGGCAUUCCACAUUACCUAUUUUUACCAAUAGUUCAAAUUGUUAGUGUAUUCCGAGGCGUUUCCAGGUGCCUUCUUUUCCAACUGAUUCCUGGAUUGGAAGUUGAAUACUAUCCUCCUAAGGAAGAUGUGAUUUUACAGUAUGAGUCUCAAACAAAUUUUUACUUAAAUAGUCUCAAGAUUAUUGGAUUUUCUAGUAGAUGCCGAUGAACGUGAACAAGUGCAGCUAAGAUCAACCCUUUGAUUUCAUCUAGGAGAUUUCACUAGAUGAGAAGGAGGAGGAGCAAGAAAAAAGGAUACUUUCAGUGAAUGAAAUCAUUAAAGGUGAACGGCCAUAUCCUAAAUGGAGUUUGUACUGCAAAUAGAAGGAAGAAGCUCUGAAUUUAGGAUAUUGCUUUAAGAUUCUUAUUUGGAUGGCCAUGAAUUAUGCAUUCUAGAAUUCGUAAAAGCCUCGACGAUAGGUGAUCAAUGAGCAAGUAAAACUGGAGUUCAAAGUAUAAGUAUUUUGUCAUUCUUAAUAGUAUACAUAAAUGUAAAAAUAUGUUAUUAAUAGAAGAACGGUAUAAAUAAGGUAACUAUAUAUAUAGAGAGGAUUUGAACAGGCUUGUUGGGGGAGCUAGUUAUUUGUUGCUUUGAUUGUAACUCUUUUGAUUGUUUUUUUGGAUUUUUGUUUGUUGAACAAAUAAUAGAUUACGUUAAGAGUUGUAUAAAUUUUUAUGUGCUAUAUU
Molecule: long non-coding RNA, 1260 nt
Organism: Solanum pennellii
Lineage: Eukaryota; Viridiplantae; Streptophyta; Magnoliopsida; Solanales; Solanaceae
Exons: 6
Source: RefSeq, a predicted model, not a curated record